GAGUUUGAUCUUGGCUCAGGAUGAACGCUAGCGGCAGGCUUAACACAUGCAAGUCGAGGGGCAUCGGGAGGGAAGCUUGCUUUCCUUGCCGGCGACCGGCGCACGGGUGAGUAACACGUAUGCAACCUGCCCUCUUCAGGGGGACAACCUUCCGAAAGGGAGGCUAAUCCCGCGUAUAUCGGUUUCGGGCAUCCGUUAUCGAGGAAAGAUUCAUCGGAAGAGGAUGGGCAUGCGGCGCAUUAGCUAGACGGCGGGUAACGGCCCACCAAACCGACAAUCGGUAGCCGGACUGAGAGGUUGAACGGCCACAUUGGGACUGAGACACGGCCCAGACUCCUACGGGAGGCAGCAGUGGGGGAUAUUGCACAAUGGGGGAAACCCUGAUGCAGCGAUGCCGCGUGAAUGAAGACGGCCUCGGUUGUAAGUUACUGUCGUCAGGGACGGAAAGUAGACGGUACCGU
This 461-nucleotide ribosomal RNA is filed under the name uncultured microorganism. RNAcentral's name for it is "bacterial SSU rRNA". It matches the Rfam family "Bacterial small subunit ribosomal RNA", at positions 9 to 481 of the family's 1533-position model. The record is from RNAcentral.